RNAcentral lists this ribosomal RNA (303 nucleotides) under uncultured bacterium. RNAcentral describes it as "partial 16S ribosomal RNA". It matches the Rfam family "Bacterial small subunit ribosomal RNA", at positions 507 to 808 of the family's 1533-position model. The record is from RNAcentral.
AGCAGUAGCCGCGGGAAUACGUAGGGUGCAAGCGUUAAUCGGAAUUACUGGGCGUAAAGCGUGCGCAGGCGGUUAUAUAAAUCAGAUGUGAAAUCCCCGGGCACAACCUGGGAACUGCAUUUGAGACUGUAUGGCUAGAGUGUGUCAGAAGGGGGGUAGAAUUCCACGUGUAGCAGUGAAAUGCGUAGAUAUGUGGAGGAAUACCGAUGGCGAAGGCAGCCCCCUGGGAUAACACUGACGCUCAUGCACGAAAGCGUGGGGAGCAAACAGGAUUAGAUACCCCUGUAGUCCCUGUCUCUUAUU